UACUCUCACACUCUCAAUCGGUUUGGGUUGAGAUCGGUGGACUUUGGGCAUUGCUGCUUGACCGCAGCUUGCCUUAAAUGUGUUAGUGCAACUCCAGGUUGGACAUCGUACGGCGUGAUAACUGUCUUCGCCGGCACCUCGCAAGAGGGUGACUGAUCGGGAGCUCUGUGCUUCAAAUCGUCUUCGGACAAUCUCUGACAAC
Molecule: unclassified non-coding RNA, 202 nt
Filed under: uncultured Sebacina
Lineage: Eukaryota; Fungi; Basidiomycota; Agaricomycetes; Sebacinales; Sebacinaceae
Description: sequence contains ITS2
Source: RNAcentral